AGUGAACGCUGGCGGUAGGCCUAACACAUGCAAGUCGAACGGCAGCACAGUAAGAGCUUGCUCUUACGGGUGGCGAGUGGCGGACGGGUGAGGAAUACAUCGGAAUCUACUUUUUCGUGGGGGAUAACGUAGGUAAACUUACGCUAAUACCGCAUCCGACCUACGGGUGAAAGCAGGGGAUCUUCGGACCUUGCGCGAUUGAAUGAGCCGAUGUCGGAUUAGCUAGUUGGCGGGGUAAAGGCCCACCAAGGCGACGAUCCGUAGCUGGUCUGAGAGGAUGAUCAGCCACACUGGAACUGAGACACGGUCAAGACUCCUACGGGAGGCAGCAGUGGGGAAUAUUGGACAAUGGGCGCAAGCAUGAUCCAGCCAUACCGCGUGGGUGAAGAAGGCCUUCGGGUUGUAAAGACCCUUUGUUGGGAAAGAAAAGCAGCAGGUUAAUACCCAGCUGUUCUGACGGUACCCAAAGAAUAAGCACCGGCUAACUUCGUG
Molecule: ribosomal RNA, 492 nt
Filed under: uncultured bacterium
Lineage: Bacteria
Description: partial 16S ribosomal RNA
Rfam family: Bacterial small subunit ribosomal RNA
Source: RNAcentral